This 433-nucleotide ribosomal RNA is filed under the name uncultured bacterium. RNAcentral's name for it is "partial 16S ribosomal RNA". It matches the Rfam family "Bacterial small subunit ribosomal RNA", at positions 29 to 507 of the family's 1533-position model. The record is from RNAcentral.
AGCGAACGCUGGCGGCAGGCUUAGCACAUGCAAGUCGAGCGGGCCCUUCGGGGUCAGCGGCGGACGGGUGAGUAACGCGUGGGAACGUGCCUUCUGGUUCGGAAUAACUCAGGGAAACUUGAGCUAAUACCGGAUACGCCCUUUUGGGGAAAGGUUUACUGCCGGAAGAUCGGCCCGCGUCUGAUUAGCUAGUUGGUGGGGUAACGGCCUACCAAGGCGACGAUCAGUAGCUGGUCUGAGAGGAUGAUCAGCCACACUGGGACUGAGACACGGCCCAGACUCCUACGGGAGGCAGCAGUGGGGAAUAUUGGACAAUGGGCGCAAGCCUGAUCCAGCCAUGCCGCGUGAGUGAUGAAGGCCUUAGGGUUGUAAAGCUCUUUUAUCCGGGACGAUAAUGACGGUACCGGAGGAAUAAGCCCCGGCUAACUUCGUG